AAGCUGCAAAGAGCUCCUUUUCUCCCGCCUCUCAGCUGAUCGGCGGGUGGGCGGGGCUUCCACGGAGGCCUCGUGUAGGCCUCUGUGAAGCCUGAACUCCAGUAGGGCCCAAGCCAGCCAGGAAGGAGGAGGCAGCCAGAGUGGCCACCACUGUUCUCCACAGCAGAAGACCCCUUGCUGCCCUGCUCAGCCCAGCAUUUGUCAGUAGGUUCAGUCCCCAGGAGAAUGUACACUCUUCCACAGGAGGUACAGGACCUCAUUGCCUUCCCAUCAUCUGAUACCCCACUGGCUCAGCUGGUUUUGAACUCAGUGCUCACAACAGAAGGCCGAGAACAGCUCUGCUCUACUGAGGAGUGGCAUCCCUCCGAGGGCUGGAGUUGAGUGAUGAUGAAGAAAACUGUCUAAGAGGCCUGGAGUUCCUGGGACGAGGUGGAGAACUUGGGGUGGAUUUGUAUCCUUUCCCCUUCUUCUCUACCCUCCCAUGUGAUUGCAUUUGAAAUCCGUGUAAAUCUGGGUGGAAUUUAGCAGCUGGUUAGAGGAGCCAAAAUCAGGGGGCUACCCUACAUUCUGGGGGACAUGGCGACCCUAGCUGCGACAAGCAAGACAGGAAAAGAACUGGGCCGGAAACAAGCAUUAAAAAAACUAUCUACUUCCUGUCUGCCUCAAGCAUGCCUGAAGCACAACCCAUUUCUGCCGGAUGGCCCACGAUCACUGGGGAAAGAGGUAUUUCUUUUUUGCUUCUAAAUUUGUUGUGUUUUAUUUUAUGCUAAAAAGCUUCUAUCCCACUUUUCUCUCUUACAAGAUCAAAGUGGCUCACAAUAAAAUUACAUGAAUAAAACAUGAGAGCAAAAAAUACAGCAACAAAAUAAUAAAUAAUACAAAUCCAGCAGUAAAUAGCACUCCAUCUACAAUCUAUAGUUCAAGAAUAGCAGCAAGAAGAGAUCAAGCAACAUCAAAUGCCCUUCUGAAGAGCCAUGUCUUCACACUAUGGUGCAAACAGUGUGGGUGCAUGUCUGGUUUCCGCAGGUAAAGUGUUCCAAAUAAUUGGUGCCUCCGUAGAGCAUGACU
Hemicordylus capensis (graceful crag lizard) is the source of this 1068-nucleotide long non-coding RNA. RefSeq lists it as uncharacterized. The transcript is spliced from 3 exons. The record is from RefSeq and is a predicted model, not a curated record. NCBI's taxonomy places the organism in Eukaryota, Metazoa, Chordata, Lepidosauria, Squamata, Cordylidae.